AAAAUCCGUCGACUUUAAAAAUCGUGAGGGUUCAAGUCCCUCUA
Molecule: transfer RNA, 44 nt
Filed under: Atriplex patula
Lineage: Eukaryota; Viridiplantae; Streptophyta; Magnoliopsida; Caryophyllales; Amaranthaceae
Also listed under: 10 other names
Description: partial tRNA-Leu
Source: RNAcentral